GAUGAACGCUGGCGGCGUGCCUAAUACAUGCAAGUCGAGCGAACAGACGAGGAGCUUGCUCCUCUGACGUUAGCGGCGGACGGGUGAGUAACACGUGGAUAACCUACCUAUAAGACUGGGAUAACUUCGGGAAACCGGAGCUAAUACCGGAUAAUAUAUUGAACCGCAUGGUUCAAUAGUGAAAGACGGUUUUGCUGUCACUUAUAGAUGGAUCCGCGCCGCAUUAGCUAGUUGGUAAGGUAACGGCUUACCAAGGCAACGAUGCGUAGCCGACCUGAGAGGGUGAUCGGCCACACUGGAACUGAGACACGGUCCAGACUCCUACGGGAGGCAGCAGUAGGGAAUCUUCCGCAAUGGGCGAAAGCCUGACGGAGGAACGCCGCGUGAGUGAUGAAGGUCUUCGGAUCGUAAAACUCUGUUAUUAGGGAAGAACAAAUGUGUAAGUAACUAUGCACGUCUUGACGGUACCUAAUCAGAAAGCCACGGCUAACUACGUG
This 497-nucleotide ribosomal RNA is filed under the name uncultured bacterium. RNAcentral's name for it is "partial 16S ribosomal RNA". It matches the Rfam family "Bacterial small subunit ribosomal RNA", at positions 28 to 507 of the family's 1533-position model. The record is from RNAcentral.